RNA transcript from Olea europaea var. sylvestris, 3186 nucleotides. RefSeq lists it as uncharacterized. The transcript has 2 exons. The record is from RefSeq and is a predicted model, not a curated record. NCBI's taxonomy places the organism in Eukaryota, Viridiplantae, Streptophyta, Magnoliopsida, Lamiales, Oleaceae.
UGUAUUGUAUUCUGAUAUCGUUCUACAACCCAAACAGUACGCAUUUCUUCCGAUGCUCUUUCUACAAGAUCUAAUCUUCAAAUUUCUGGGAAAUUAUCUUCUAAAUUUUUUAAUUGUACCCUCUGUUUAUCCAAUUUGGAUAUUUCUAUUUCAAUUGACUCAGUUAUUGUUCCCACCCGUUAAAUCUGCAAAAUUCUAGGGUUUCGCUUUCAAUCGAUCUUUAAAUAUAGCCUUCAUAUCUGUAAAUUGUUUGGAUUUUUUUUAAAGAUUUUACGUGGGUUUCCUUCCCCUUUAGUUAUAGAUAGAAUUUGUUAUUUUGCUUGGAGACGUUCUGAAACCUAGGGUUUCGAUUUCGAGGAUUUAUCUUAGGGUUCAUCAUAUUUGUAAAUUGACUUGGGGUGUCGGUAUGUCUCUUUCUGAAUUGGAUUUUCAUAGCUUCAUGCUCUGUAUUUUAAGGAAUAUAUGAAUCUAGGUUAGGGAUUUUUGAUAAAUUGGGGAUUUUUUUUUAGCCCCAUUUUAUUGAAAUAAAUUUAUUUGUUUUCAGCUGCCAAUCGGUUGAUGGGUUUGACGUCAAUUUUUUUGUGCAUAAAUUAUUUUUUUAAAAUGGAAAAUGUAGUUCAAUCUCUCCCACUGUUAUUUAUUUAUUCCUGAAAAGGUAUGUCCUUUGAUUUAAAAUUCUUUCUUUAAUUAUGUCCUUUGAUUUUUAAUUCUUUCUUUAAUAAUACUUAACGUUUAUUUAUCAUGUAAUGUUCUCUAAUGUAUUACAGUAAAAACCAGUUUACUGUAAAUUUUUGCUUCCAGUAUUGGCAAUAACUAAUUGUGAUUUUGAAAAAUAAAAUAAAAUCUGUUGCGGUGUAAACUAAAUAUUAGUUUUUCAAAAAGUAUAAUGAACUUCACAAUUUUUUAUGAUUGUAAAGGAUGCGCUUCUUAAAGUUGAAACUAAUUUCAGUGCUGCAUUUUUAGUGGUAUGACUGGUAAUCCACAUGACAUCAAAGCAAAUUCAUGUUUUCUUGUUACAUUUUUAUGAUAUGUGGGUUUUUGGGUAGAGGUUCAUUUGGAGUGUAACAUCAGGUUUUAUUAGCAUUCUACUUAUGAUGCCAGCUUCAAAGUUCUUUCCUUCGUUUUCCACAUGAUUAAUCAACAAGGUAUAACAUAUCUUGCUGCAUAUGUUUACAUAUAUGAAUGUAAAGCAUAACUGUCUACACUUGUGUUUUAACAUCAUGAAUGUAUGUAUAUGUGUCAGUCUUGUAAUCUUAUCUGUUCGUUCUCUUCAAUAUCUUUUCUCUUAAAUAUGUCAGAUUUGAAACUUACAGGAGCACCCAGACAUUCAUUAUGUCUCUAUGGAUAGAAAAGAUGGGAGCCAAGCGGCCAUUUCAAGAGGACAACUUUCCGGAGCUUUCUUUCAAGCAAGUUAAACAGUUUGGUUUUAAUAAAAAUUUAAAAUCAUAUGUUGAGGAUUUUCCUUCUCAUGUAACUUCUCCAAAAUCUGAUUUUAACGGUAAUUUAUGCGGUAAAAUAUGCCAUUUACUUUCUGCAUACACCGAUAUAUUUUAUAUAUAAAACAUUAUGUUCAUCAAGUAAGGCGUCUCUAUUGAGAAGCUUCUUGAUGACAUUUUUCUUUUGAUUCAUAGAUGGAAAAAAUAAGCAGGUUUUUUACUAUGAUACCGUUUCUUUUGACUUGUGUAAUUAGUAACUUUGCCAGUCUCAGGUGAAGUUUCUCUGCUUCAAAUUAAGCAUUUUUCAGUAUGGCAUGAUGUCAAGUCAUGCAAUAUUUGACCUCACAUUUUUAAUCAUAUAUUGUACCAUAGGUGAAGCCAAAAGCAACUUUUCUAAAACCAAUUUGAUGAGAAGCACAGAAAUGUUGACAUCUAUGGCUACUCUGAUAUGGUUCACAAGGAGUUCGAGAUAGACAAGGAGUCCGAGAUGAGUACACCCUUAUCAUGGGUAGCAAACAGCAGUACUGACAAAGAUUCUGCUUUUGAGGACAAAUUUUGUUGGUCUCACUUUCAAGAUUAUUUCGACUUUAGUGUUCCAAGAUGACUCUGAUAUGGCUCACAAGGAGUUCGAGAUAGACAAGGAGUCCGAGAUGAGUACACCCUUAUCAUGGGUAGCAAACAGCAGUACUGACAAAGAUUCUGCUUUUGAGGACAAAUUUUGUUGGUCUCACUUUCAAGAGUAUUUCGACUUUAGUGUUCCAAGACGACUCCCAGUUCAGUUCGAGGAUCCAUAUUCAUUUUUGUUGAAUUGUUCUCCAAGGAAAAAAGUUCCUAUUGGACCAGAUCAUCAGACUGAAGUUCCACAAUGGGAUCCGAAUGCUGACAGGAAAGACACUUUAUGUCCCAAAUAUGUUGAAAAUGAAAAUGAAGAAAAACUGAUGGGAACAUGUAUCAUCCCAAUGCCUGGUUUAAAUGUAUGUACAUUGCCGAGCAAACUGUAGCUGUCUGGACGCUGGUUGCAUACAAUGUGUACGACAACAUAUAAAAGAAGCACGAGAAAAGUUAAGAUACACAAUUGGAGAUAAGAAUUUCGCAGAGUUGGGAUUUUUCAACAUGGGAGAGGAGGUAGCAUCCAGCUGGACUGAAGAAGAUGAACAAAUUUUUCAUCAGGUCAUUUAUUCUAAUCCAGUGUUGCUUGGUAAAAAUUUUUUGGAAACACCUUUUUGUUGUGUUCCCUAACCGAACAAAGAAGGAAAUUAUCAGCUAUUAUUUCAAUGUCUUCAUGCUCCGGAGACGGGCUUUUCAAAACAGAUCUAAUCUGUUGGCCAUAGAUAGUGAUGAUGAUGAAUGACAUGGCACUGAUGGAGGAUUCUAUCAAGCUGGAGAAGAAGAUGAAGACUCUGCGGUCGAAUCUUUUAGUGAUGAAGAUGUUCUCACGGGGUAUGGUGAUGACUCUUCCUCCGAAAGUAUAAGCAGGCACAAGGAGGACUAUGGUAAUGCCAUUUCUGUCGGGGAAGGGACGGGGAAUGUGGAGAUGUUACUGAGAUGAACAGUAAAAGAGUUUAAAUGCCCUGAUAAGAAACUUAGAAGUCAAAAGUUUUGAUAGUAAACUUGGUUAAUAUCCUACUAUUACACAUUGAAAUGUAGAAGAAAAAGGCUUCACGUUGAAGAAUGAAAAUGUUGUUGCUCUUCAUUUUUGUAUUGAUCACAUAAUUUGCUUACUGGAUUGGUUCAUAAUAUUCAUUUUCAA